Molecule: long non-coding RNA, 1928 nt
Organism: Cyprinus carpio (common carp)
Lineage: Eukaryota; Metazoa; Chordata; Actinopteri; Cypriniformes; Cyprinidae
Source: Ensembl
GACUGAAAGAGCAAAAAUGUUGGGCCCGGUAUAAACAUAUAGGCCUGGUUUUACAGACAGGGCUUAGACUAAGCCAGGAUUAGGCCAUAGUUCAAUUAAGACAUCUGAGUAAUUUUUAUUAACAUGCCUUAGAAAAAAACAUUACUGGUGUGCAUCUUGAGACAAAGGCACUGAUAUAUUAUAAGAUCAGUCAGUGCAAGUUUCUUUCAGUUAAAACAGCUCAGAUUUACACUUUAGUCUGGGACUAGGCUUAAGCCUUGUCUGUGAAACCAGGGGAUAGGCUUCACGGACAUUUCUUAGCUUGAGCCAGGACUAUGUGUCACAGGUCGGGGGGGCCAAGCCGGACUGCACCCGCCCCUGAAACCCAGGAUCACCUCAGAGAGCGUACCAGAAGAACCAGACGGACGAAAAACGAAGCCAGACCUCGGACGCCGGGGAGGCGUGGAGUCGUCGGCAGUUCGUGCCUGUACGGGGCCGGCAAGAGCCAGGAUAGUCUGUCACCCGUCCCGGAAUGAGGGGGGGAUAUCCGGGUAAGUAGAGCUCGUGGAUGUUUCGGUCGAGACCGGGAAAAGGAAUAAUUCUCGUGUCCACCUCCUUUUACAGGGACAUCACAUGCAGCGUCCAGCCCAGAGGAUCCUGCAAUCUCUUUUCAUAGGGACAUCACAUGCAGCAUUCGUCCCAGGGGAUCCUACGAUCUGCACAGCAGAGUAAGCAAUCGACAGCAGGUAUGUAGUCUUUAAUGGGUGAUGGGCUUACGGCUGGGAGAUGCUUCAGUUAAGACCGAGAAAGGAAUAAUUCGUGUGUCCACCUCCUUUCAUAGGGACAUCACAUGCGGCGUUCAGCCCAGAGGAUCCUGCGAUCUGCACAGCAGAGUAAGUAACCAACAGGACAUCACAUGCGGCGUUCAGCCCAGAGGAUCCUGCGAUCUGCGCAGCGGAGUAAGUAAUCAACAGUAAGUAGGUGUUCUUGAAUAAGUAAUGGGGCUUACGGCUGGGAGAUGCUUCGGUCAGUGCCUGGGUGUGGAUUACGGUGACGGUGGUGGGCUCUCGGGGUGGUGAGCGUCCGGCAUUAACUCUACAUAUCUUCCCCACACUCUGUAACUUCACUUCAAACGAUUUAUUGUGCAGACACACCACUUCAGACACGGCACACCCACUCUUAGUGCAAAUAGAGCCAGCACUCACCCAACGAUGGCUCCGUCCACUUCACCACGUUAUCACUCCCAGUCCAGAUGUAUACAAUUGAUCGAAGUCCCAGAUCAGGUCUCUUAACUUCCCUCCGAUAGUGAUGGCGCGGCCUGGUCUCCACUUGCUUUCCAGAACUCACACUCUUUCUGUCCCGAAUAUCUCCACUCGAUCGCUGAUAUAACUGUUGCACAGCCAGAUAGCCGAAACCCCACAAUAGUCCUCGAAUACCUCCACACGCCAGCCCAAACGUCCCAGAAAUUCCCCUCCCUUUUGGUCUCUGCACUUCUCUUUUUAUGUGGUUACUCCGCCUCCAUAAUCCUCUCACAGAUCGCCACGUCAAACUCCCCACACCAGAUGUCAAUCUAUCAUUAGCGUUGUUAUUGUGACAUCGGGCGCAACCCGGAAGUGGACCGGUGUUACCGCGACACCGUCCCGGGGGGAACACAAUUCCAACGGGACUUAGUUCCGCUUCUCUUUCGUCACCCCGUGACAUAUGCCUUAGUUAAAUUAGGAUAUUUAAUGCGCUUUUAUAAAAAUGCAUUAGAAAAAAACAUUACUGGUGUGCGUCUUGAGACAAAACAAUGGCACUGACACCUUUAAAGAUAUGUGAGGGCAAGUUAUUGUCAGUUGAGACUCAAACAUUAAUUUUAGUCUGGGACUAGCCGUAAGCCUUGUCUGUGAAACAGGGCAAUAGAGCAUGAAUAGCUGUGAUGUGAAAUAAAGCAAAAUCUAAUACAACCA